This 373-nucleotide ribosomal RNA is filed under the name uncultured organism. Its description in RNAcentral is "partial 16S ribosomal RNA". It matches the Rfam family "Bacterial small subunit ribosomal RNA", at positions 527 to 896 of the family's 1533-position model. The record is from RNAcentral.
GUAGGUGGCAAGCGUUGUCCGGAAUUAUUGGGCGUAAAGCGCGCGCAGGCGGGUCUUUAAGUCUGAUGUGAAAGCCCACGGGCUCAACCGUGGAGGGUCAUUGGAAACUGGAGAACUUGAGUACAGAAGAGGAAAGCGGAAUUCCACGUGUAGCGGUGAAAUGCGUAGAGAUGUGGAGGAACACCAGUGGCGAAGGCGGCUUUCUGGUCUGUAACUGACGCUGAGGCGCGAAAGCGUGGGGAGCAAACAGGAUUAGAUACCCUGGUAGUCCACGCCGUAAACGAUGAGUGCUAAGUGUUACGGGGGUUUCCGCCCCUUAGUGCUGCAGCUAACGCAUUAAGCACUCCGCCUGGGGAGUACGGCCGCAAGGCUG